RNAcentral lists this ribosomal RNA (1445 nucleotides) under uncultured bacterium. RNAcentral's name for it is "bacterial SSU rRNA". It matches the Rfam family "Bacterial small subunit ribosomal RNA". The record is from RNAcentral.
AGAGUUUGAUCCUGGCUCGGGGUGAACGCUAGCGGCGUGCCUUAGGCAUGCAAGUCGAACGACCCGCUUCGGGCGGGAGUGGCAGACGGGUGAGUAACACGUGAGAACGUACCCUUUAGUGAGGAAUAACCCACCGAAAGGUGGGCUAAUACCGCAUGUGAUCGCAAGAUUAAAGAACGUAACUGUUCGCUAAAGGAGCGGCUCGCGUCCCAUCAGCUUGUUGGUAGGGUAAUGGCCUACCAAGGCAUCGACGGGUAGCUGGACUGAGAGGUCGGCCAGCCACAAGGGCACUGAGACACGGGCCCUACUCCUACGGGAGGCAGCAACCGGGAAUCGUGGACAAUGGGCGCAAGCCUGAUCCCGCGACGCCGCGUGAAGGACGAAGGCCUUCGGGUUGUAAACUUCUUUUAUAAGGGAAUAAGGUCUCGCUUGCGAGGCUUGACUGUACCUUACGAAUAAGCCGCUGCCAACUACGUGCCAGCAGCCGCGGUGAUACGUAGGCGGCAAGCGUUACCCGGAUUUAUUGGGCGUAAAGAGUGCGCAGGUGGUUUGGUAAGUUUUCGUUAAAAUACGUUGGCUCAACCAACGGACCGCGAAAAUACUGCCAGACUAGAGUUAGCCAGGGGGUGCCGGAACAGAUGGUGAAGCAGUGAAAUGCGUUGAUAUCAUCUGGAACACCAAAGGCGAAGGCAGGCACCUGGGGCUUUUCUGACACUGAUGCACGAAAGCGUGGGGAGCGAAUCGGAUUAGAUACCUGAGUAGUCCACGCCGUAAACGAUGGACACUAGAUAUCAGGCUGGUGACGGCUUGGUGUCGUAAGCUAACGCGUUAAGUGUCCCGCCUGGGGAGUACGGCCGCAAGGCUAAAACUCAAAGGAAUUGACGGGGACCCGCACAAGCAGGGGAACGUGUGGUUUAAUUCGAGACAAAACGAAAAACCUCACCAGGGUUUGAAAUGUAUGUUUUAGGACUCCGAAAAGAGAACAAACCGCAAGGUAGCAUACACAGGUGCUGCAUGGCUGUCGUCAGCUCGUGCCGUGAGGUGUACCCUUAAGUGGGGUAACGAGCGCAACCCCUACCGGCUGUUGUAUCACUCAGCAGGAACUGCCCCGAUAAUAUCGGGGAGGAAGGAGGGGACGACGUCAAGUCAUCAUAGCCCUUAUGUCCUGGGCUACACACACGUUACAAUGGGCUUACACAAUGGGUCGCAACACUGCGAAGUGAAGCUAAUCCCACAAAAGAGCCCUCAGUUGGGAUUGCAGUCUGAAAUUCGACUGCAUGAACAUGGACUUGCUAGUAAUCGCAGGUCAGCAUACUGCGGUGAAUACGUUCUCGGGUCUUGUACACACCGCCCGUCAAGUGAGCAAAGUCGUAGGUAGUUGAAGUGCUCCAUUAGGAGUCCGAGACUAAAUGCGGUGAUGAGCGCUAAGUCGUAACAAGGUAACC